This 1372-nucleotide ribosomal RNA is filed under the name uncultured bacterium. RNAcentral describes it as "bacterial SSU rRNA". It matches the Rfam family "Bacterial small subunit ribosomal RNA", at positions 28 to 1381 of the family's 1533-position model. The record is from RNAcentral.
GAUGAACGCUGGCGGCGUGCCUAAUACAUGCAAGUCGAGCGAACGGACGAGAAGCUUGCUUCUCUGAUGUUAGCGGCGGACGGGUGAGUAACACGUGGAUAACCUACCUAUAAGACUGGGAUAACUUCGGGAAACCGGAGCUAAUACCGGAUGAUAUUUUGAACCGCAUGGUUCAAAAGUGAAAGACGGUCUUGCUGUCACUUAUAGAUGGAUCCGCGCUGCAUUAGCUAGUUGGUAAGGUAACGGCUUACCAAGGCAACGAUGCAUAGCCGACCUGAGAGGGUGAUCGGCCACACUGGAACUGAGACACGGUCCAGACCCCUACGGGAGGCAGCAGUAGGGAAUCUUCCGCAAUGGGCGAAAGCCUGACGGAGCAACGCCGCGUGAGUGAUGAAGGUCUUCGGAUCGUAAAACUCUGUUAUUAGGGAAGAACAUAUGUGUAAGUAACUGUGCACAUCUUGACGGUACCUAAUCAGAAAGCCACGGCUAACUACGUGCCAGCAGCCGCGGUAAUACGUAGGUGGCAAGCGUUAUCCGGAAUUAUUGGGCGUAAAGCGCGCGUAGGCGGUUUUUUAAGUCUGAUGUGAAAGCCCACGGCUCAACCGUGGAGGGUCAUUGGAAACUGGAAAACUUGAGUGCAGAAGAGGAAAGUGGAAUUCCAUGUGUAGCGGUGAAAUGCGCAGAGAUAUGGAGGAACACCAGUGGCGAAGGCGACUUUCUGGUCUGUAACUGACGCUGAUGUGCGAAAGCGUGGGGAUCAAACAGGAUUAGAUACCCUGGUAGUCCACGCCGUAAACGAUGAGUGCUAAGUGUUAGGGGGUUUCCGCCCCUUAGUGCUGCAGCUAACGCAUUAAGCACUCCGCCUGGGGAGUACGACCGCAAGGUUGAAACUCAAAGGAAUUGACGGGGACCCGCACAAGCGGUGGAGCAUGUGGUUUAAUUCGAAGCAACGCGAAGAACCUUACCAAAUCUUGACAUCCUUUGACAACUCUAGAGAUAGAGCCUUCCCCUUCGGGGGACAAAGUGACAGGUGGUGCAUGGUUGUCGUCAGCUCGUGUCGUGAGAUGUUGGGUUAAGUCCCGCAACGAGCGCAACCCUUAAGCUUAGUUGCCAUCAUUAAGUUGGGCACUCUAAGUUGACUGCCGGUGACAAACCGGAGGAAGGUGGGGAUGACGUCAAAUCAUCAUGCCCCUUAUGAUUUGGGCUACGCACGUGCUACAAUGGACAAUACAAAGGGCAGCGAAACCGCGAGGUCAAGCAAAUCCCAUAAAGUUGUUCUCAGUUCGGAUUGUAGUCUGCAACUCGACUACAUGAAGCUGGAAUCGCUAGUAAUCGUAGAUCAGCAUGCUACGGUGAAUACGUUCCCGGGUCU